RNAcentral lists this ribosomal RNA (253 nucleotides) under uncultured bacterium. RNAcentral's name for it is "partial 16S ribosomal RNA". It matches the Rfam family "Bacterial small subunit ribosomal RNA", at positions 524 to 776 of the family's 1533-position model. The record is from RNAcentral.
UACGUAGGUGGCGAGCGUUGUCCGGAAUUACUGGGCGUAAAGGGCGCGUAGGCGGUCUUCUAAGUCUUGUGUGAAAUCCCUCGGCUUAACUGAGGAACUGCACGGGAUACUGGAUGACUUGAGUUCGGGAGAGGGAAGCGGAAUUCCGGGUGUAGCGGUGAAAUGCGUAGAUAUCCGGAGGAACACCGGUGGCGAAGGCGGCUUCCUGGACCGACACUGACGCUGAGGCGCGAAAGCUAGGGGAGCAAACGGG